Molecule: ribosomal RNA, 386 nt
Filed under: uncultured eukaryote
Lineage: Eukaryota
Description: partial 18S ribosomal RNA
Rfam family: Eukaryotic small subunit ribosomal RNA
Source: RNAcentral
CAAUAGCGUAUAUUAAAGUUGUUGCAGUUGAAAAGCUCGUAGUUGGAUUUCUGGCUUGGAACGGCUGGUCCGCCGUAUAUGCGGUGCGUACCGGUUCGAUCCAGCCAUCCUUCCAAGGACCUCUCCUGCCCUUCAUUGGGUCGGGUGUAGGCACUUGGAUCGAUUACUUUGAAAAAAUUAGAGUGUUCAAAGCAGGCGUUUGUCUUGAAUACAUUAGCAUGGAAUAAUGACAUAGGACUUUGGUUCUAUUUUGUUGGUUUCUAGGACUGAAGUAAUGAUUGAUAGGGAUAGUUGGGGGUGCUAGUAUUGUGCGGCCAGAGGUGAAAUUCUUGGAUUCGCGCAAGACUAACUAAUGCGAAAGCAUUCACCAAGGAUGUCUUCUUUAA